This 2782-nucleotide ribosomal RNA is filed under the name termite gut metagenome. Its description in RNAcentral is "bacterial LSU rRNA". It matches the Rfam family "Bacterial large subunit ribosomal RNA", at positions 3 to 1975 of the family's 2925-position model. The record is from RNAcentral.
UCAAGCUAAAAAGAGCGCAGGGUGAAUGCCUUGGCAUUAGGAGCCGAAGAAGGACGCGGUAAGCUGCGAAAAGCUGCGGGGAACAGCAAGCAUGUAUUGAUCCGCAGGUGUCCGAAUGGAGCAAUCCGUCAGGAGUAAAGUCCUGACAUCAUAUACUGAAUAAAUAGGUAUAUGAGGGGAACCGCCUGAACUGAAACAUCUAAGUAGGGCGAGGAAAAGAAAUCAACCGAGAUUCUGUGAGUAGUGGCGAGCGAAAGCGGAAGAGGGCAAACCGCCGGUAGAAAUACCGGCGGGGUAUGGACCGCAUAUAGUAUUCUUGAAAGUUAGGAGAAGCGAAUGGGAAGUCGCGCCGAAGAGCAUGAGAGCUGCGUAUCCGAAAACAAGAGAGAGCUAGCGGUAUCCGGAGUACCGCGGGGCACGUGAAAUCCCGUGGGAAAAUGGGGGGACCAUCCUCCAACCCUAAAUACUACCUAAUGACCGAUAGCGAACAGUACUGUGAAGGAAAGGUGAAAAGAACCCCGGGAGGGGAGUGAAAAAGAACCUGAAACCCUGUGCUUACAAGCACUGAGAGCACGUCAAUGUGUGAUCAGGUACCUAUUGUAGAAUGGUCCGGCGAGUUAUGGUAUGCAGCAAGAUUAAGCGCUUAAGGCGCGGAGUCAAAGCGAGAGCGAGUCUGAAAAGGGCGAAAAAGUUGUAUGCUAUAGACCCGAAACCGAGUGACCUAGCCAUGUCCAGGUUGAAGUGGAGGUAAAACUCCAUGGAGGACCGAACCGACCUCCGUUGAAAAGGCGGCGGAUGAGGUGUGGCUAGCGGAGAAAUUCCAAUCGAACUCGGAUAUAGCUGGUUCUCUCCGAAAUAGCUUUAGGGCUAGCGUUGCAUAUGAUUACCGGAGGUAAAGCACUGAAUAGGCUAGGGGGCGAGAGCUUACCGAACCUUAUCAAACUCAGAAUGCCGGAUAAUUUAAAGUGCAGCAGUCAGACAGUGUGAGAUAAGUUUCAUUGUCGAAAGGGAAAGAGCCCAGACCCACAGCUAAGGUCCCCAAAUACAUUUAAGUGGAAAAGGAUGUGGGGUUGCGUAAACAACCAGGAUGUUGGCUUAGAAGCAGCCAUACAUUAAAAGAGUGCGUAAUAGCUCACUGGUCGAGUGACCCUGCGCCGAAAAUUCAACGGGGCUAAAAUGUAUACCGAAGCUUGGGCUGACGGUCAAUUAACAAUUAACAAUUAACAAUGAACAAUUAAAGUUUAUUGGAGGUUGAAGUUAAUUGAAAGAUAAUGUAAUUUUAGAAAAGAGCAUGGAAUUUGCGGUAAGAACAGUAAGUCUGUAUAAAUAUUUGUGUGAGGAAAAACAUGAAUAUGUAUUAUCAAAGCAGAUAUUAAGAAGCGGAACAAGCAUAGGAGCUAAUGUCCGCGAAGGGAUAUACGGAUACAGCAGGAAUGAUUUUACGGCAAAAAUGCAGAUAGCGUUAAAAGAAGCUUCAGAAACUGAAUACUGGGACGGAACUUCUGAAGAGAACAGGGUAUAUAUCAGAAUGUGAAUAUGAAAGUAUUCAGAAAGAUAAUUCGGAAAUAUGCAAAAUAUUAACAGCUAUACUAAAAAGUACAAAAAGCAAUUAAAAUUACUGUGCAAUUAAUAAUUAAAAUCUGUAAAACAGAGGCGUAAUUGUUAAUUGUUCAUUGUUAAUUGUUAAUUGACCGUCGGGGUAGGAGAGCGUCGUAUAAGAGGCGAAGCCGGAGCGAAAGCGGCGGUGGAUUUUAUACGAGUGAGAAUGCCGGAAUGAGUAGCGAGAAUUAUGUGAGAAUCAUAAUGGCCGAAAAUCUAAGGUUUUAGGAGGAAGGUUCGUCCGCUCCUAGUAAGCCGGGAGCUAAGGUGAGGCGGAAACGCGUAGCCGAUGCACAUACGGUUGAAAUUCCGUAGCCGCCGAAGGAUUUAAGCAGAGGGACACUUUGAAAGUGAUGAAGCCGGGCGUUGGUUGCCCCGGCCGUAAGGGACCGAAAUUAUAGUAGGGAAGUCAUCAUGGACGAAGGCAAGAAAAGCUCUGUGAAUAUCCGAGGCGCCCGUACCGCAAACCGACACAGGUAGAUAGGAAGAGAAUUCUAAGGCCAACGGGAGAAGGGUAGUUAAGGAACUCGGCAAGUUGACCCCGUAACUUAGGAAGAAGGGGUGCUGAGCGAGGAAUGAGGAUUCAGGAGGAAGGCAUGAGGAAUGCUCAGGAAGGAUUCAGAGGAUUGAAGGUAUAUCAGAAAGCAUACGGUUUGGUAAAGGAAGUAUAUGAAACAGUAAAAACAUUACCGGAAUCGGAAAGAUAUAACAUAAGUUCUCAGAUCAAAAGAGCAGCCACAAGUGUUUCACUGAAUAUAGCGGAAGGAUAUGCAAAGAAGGAAUACAGCAAGGCUGAUUAUAUUCGAUUUUUGCUCAUAUCCAAAGGUUCCGCGUAUGAAACAGAAGUAUUGCUUGAUUUGUGCAGAGAUUUUGGGUAUAUGCCGGAAGAAAAGCACGAUGAAAUGAUAGUAAAGUAUGAAGAGGUAGUAAGGAUGAUAAGCGGUUUGAUAAAAUCCCUUAAUCCUGAUACCUGAAUCCUGAUUCCUCGCUCAGCCGCAGAGAAUAGGCCCAGGCGACUGUUUAGCAAAAACACAGCUCUAUGCUAAAUCGAAAGAUGAUGUAUAUGGGGUGACACCUGCCCGGUGCCGGAAGGUUAAGAGGAGGAGUGAGAGCUCUGAAUUGAAGCCCCGGUAAACGGCGGCCGUAACUAUAACGGUCCUAAGGUAGCGAAAUUCCUUGUCAG